Molecule: ribosomal RNA, 411 nt
Filed under: Verrucomicrobiota bacterium
Lineage: Bacteria; Pseudomonadati; Verrucomicrobiota
Description: Verrucomicrobia bacterium partial 16S ribosomal RNA
Rfam family: Bacterial small subunit ribosomal RNA
Source: RNAcentral
UGGGGAAUCUUGCGCAAUGGGGGAAACCCUGACGCAGCGACGCCGCGUGCGGGAUGAAGGCCUUCGGGUUGUAAACCGCUUUCAGCAGGGACGAGGCCUUAUGGUGACGGUACCUGCAGAAGAAGCUCCGGCUAAAUACGUGCCAGCAGCCGCGGUAAUACGUAUGGAGCAAGCGUUAUCCGGAUUCAUUGGGCGUAAAGCGCUCGUAGGCGGUCUGUUAGGUCGGCAAGUUAAAUCCGGGGGCUCAACCCCCGUCCGCUUCCGAUACCGGCAGACUUGAGUUUGGUAGGGGAAGGUGGAAUUCCUAGUGUAGCGGUGGAAUGCGCAGAUAUUAGGAAGAACACCGGUGGCGAAGGCAGGUCUCUGGGCUGUUACUGACGCUGAGAAGCGAAAGCGUGGGGAGCGAACAGG